GCGCGAUGGCUUGCGCAGGAAGCAGUGGCUGCAUAACGUUGGCCGAAAUAACUCUGUUCCGCCAAAGAACAGUGUUUGUGAGGUUCAUACUGUGAGACGUUCAACAUAGCAUAAAUGGGAGUGUUGUCGUUGUGCCACGGGAUGUCCCUACACUUGCAAAAACAUGGUGCUGACCGUUUUGCCAAACCUGCUGAAGUACUUGAGCAAGAAACUGCCAAAAAAAACGCAAAAGGCAAGGAACAGUUAUAGAAGCCACCGUUCCAUUGAAGAAAAGUGGUGCAGCACUCGAGAAGUUGGAAGCAAGCCUGCAGGUGGAAGAAACAAUAGGUCUGACCGCCGUCUUGGUGAGGUGCUCUGCAACUGCUGGGAACUGAAGGCCAUUGGGUAAUUGAGUGAGUCAUUUGGGAGGGAGUGGCCGAAUACUGCACCAGGGAGGCCAAUUCCUGUUCUGGUGAGGGAGUGUCUUGUUGAAGCUUAGUGGGCCUUUCUAAUUUGGUUGUACAUGGAUUAGUAUAGCCCCACUCGCUCUCAGCAUCCUUUGCCGGUGACAGGCGUCACUUCAAGCCUGCAGAUGUUGUGCACUGGAGGAGGUGAAUUUCAAGCUCACCAUCGUCCAAAAAAAGAAAAAAAAAGCACCUUGUAGAAGGAUUCGAACUUCUGACUAUGGCAACCGAGCAUUCGACAUAGCUCAGUCAGAUAAUCCCAUAGGCGGCGAGGCUACCUUAUCGCCGACAAGUACAGCCCAGAGGGCCCUACAUGCCUAAACACUUCUUUGAUUUAUCCGUGAUAUGUGUUUAUGAUAGAAGUGAUAGAAGGGUAACUCAAUAUAGAACGAUUUCUAAAUGGUUCUGGCCUCGUAGUUACAGAAUUGCGCUUGCGCAGACAGCCAUGAACUCGGCUAGGCAAACCCUACAGGCGUACCGAUGACCAUUCACAGUUGCGAAUAGAUGCUCAUGAUGGCAGGAGUACAAACGGAAACCCACGAAAACGAAUAUAAGUACAAAUGUAAAAGAAAUAACUGGAUGCAAACUACGACUUUAUUUUUUACUUGAUGAAAAUCUGUAUGUGAACUUGGUACUAUCUGUAUGCAAUAUUGCUCAGUUCCUGUUAAAGUUCCUGUUAGAGUCGGUAAAUCUUUAAACGCCAUGCUUCAUUGUCCAACUGCGCUGUGGUCUUUGUAAGCAUUAAAAAAUCAGAAUGUCCUUGCUUAUCAAAUGGCAGAGUUUGUCAGUAAGGCAAUGCCCUCUCUUGUUUACAACAAGAUAGUCAUCUUUGAAAUGGAGGAAGGCAGGACAUUUCCCAGUUGCAGCAUUUUUCUUGCUGGACUUCUGCACAAGAGAUGCGAUUUCCAAUCACAGCAAGACGUGCAGGAGUUUCUAGCAUGUGCAGAGAGCCUCGCAACACGCUGUGGAAUUGGAAAAGUAUGCGACUUUGAAGCAUUACAGGUGGCCAAGAUCACCAAAACAUCUCGGCAUUGCUUGUUCUCCUCUGCUUGCAAUGCGUCCUUGCCACCUUCACCACGAGGUAUUUGCCUCUUCACCCAUGUAUUACUAGGUAUUUUACAAGUAUGCAUUCCAUAUGAAUGCCCCAUUCAGAUGAUACCUUUGGAUAGAGCAAAAAUGGCCAAGUCGUGGUUUUCUUUCACAUUUUUUUUGUUGUUGCUUCAGUCGCCUCCAGUCGUCCAAAUCAGCGAAGCUUUGCUUGUAGGAAAAUCAGAAGCCUUCUUGUAGUUCGCUUGCCGAGUUAGAAAAAAAAAAAGCUCUGUGCCCACUAGCAAGAACUGCUGCUCAAUGGCUAAAGUGGGUUUCAUGCACCUUCAGGAGGAAGAAAAAUAAACUUCUGUCUCUGCAUGAUGCACUACAAAGGCUACCAGAUGCCAGUUCCAAUAUCAAGGUAUCUUUUUGAGCAAAAGGUUUGCCUGUCACGCUUCACUUUAACUAUAGCACCCUUCAUAGUGCACUGAUUCAAUAACUCAUGUGUACGCUAUUUUUCAGCUGAACGGGCUCCCAAGAAAGCAACAAGCUGCUGUGAGAGCCUGUUUUGAGGCCUCUAAGCGGAAGUCUUUGUGAGGAUACCGCUAUAACAGAGAGUGGCUUUUGGAAUGCAUAAUCCUAAGAAUGAAAAGCCCUCGACUGUACCAGUACCUGCGGGCCCACAAAAUCCUUGUCCCUCCCAGCCGUGCCUGCCUACAGGAAGUACAUUAGGCUAUGUGGUUGCAUAUUUUGAAAACUAUGAAAACCAAGUGAUAUUUUUUUGCUUACAAGGAUUUAAAGCAUCAUUCAGCUUUAAUGACAAGCUUUUAGAGUCAGUAAAGCUUUGGGAGUCGGUAAAAAUAAAAGCUCAAGAAAUGAAUGAAAUGAAAAGGCACGGUGGCCUUGUGGUGGACGAAAUGAAACUUUCUACACAUCUUGAUAUGUGAUCUUCCGGUCAUAUUGAAGGCUUUGUUUAUUUAGGAAAGUUUACUGAGGAUUGCGACAAGCACACAAAAGCCGAUCACGGACUGGUUUUCAUAUUCCAGCCGUUGAGCAAAUCGACUCAAGUUAUUGGUAUGCAGCAUUCACUAAAGCUCCCGCAGCAAAUAAGGUUUGCGGAUUUGUUUUCUGUGCUUUUUUUUUUUCAGCUGUAUUUGCUUCUCGGGGAAAUGUGAAAUUCAGGGUACUGGCAAAAAUUCUUUUGGAAGCGACAAUCCUGUGUGAACAGGCGGGUCUACAUGUAGACUAUAUCUGCUCUGAUGGCACUGACUGGAACUGCUUAAUGUGGAGUGCUUUUGGUCCACGUGACAAUUUCAAGGAUGUGCAGUGCAAGGUCAUCCAUCCUUCUGACACUAGCAGGUUCCUACACUUUGUCUCAGAUUUCGCAUACCUCAUUAAACGCUUGCGAAAUGCAACGAUAGAAACAGGAUUCAACACUCAAAAUGGAACAGUAGACUUCUUAUUCAAUUAUCUCAAUUAUCUGUGAAUUAUUAAUGAUACCUUUUGUAUAAUUCUAGUUUGUGAUUAACAUUCUCAUAACUUAAAAAUUUUCAGGCCCACUGAGAGCAUGCAUCUACAAUGUGGAAAGUAGAAAGCAACACUGUCACCUUGAAGGUUGCACCAAAGCUUACAAGGACCCAUAUAUUCCAAAAUGGAUUUGUAAAUAUGAGUGUGGAUUUGGCUUUUCUUGUUUUCAGUGCUGCAGUUGUACAUGCCAUAGAUUUGCACAAAGAAAAAAAAAAAUCGAAAAUCACUAUCCUGACAUUGACCCAACAAGGACCUUCAUCAAUAUUAUGGCUAACUUAAUCGUUACCAUGACAUCUAAAUUUCCAGCUGAAGCUUUAAGGUAGCUUUAAGAUGAAUAUCUUGUCCCACCCAUGUGUACAGAUAUGAAUUCCAAGAUUUUGUUUCAUGCUAUCGUUCCAGACCAGGCAGUGCAAAGGAGGCCACUCUUGACCAUAUGCUGGAGUUUUUGGAUUCAUGGGAGGAUCAUUCAAAAGGACUUGGGUUCCUCAGCAAGCACAUUUCAGUAGGUCUGUGUGUAACGCUUCGGACAACAAAGGACCUGUUGAGGUAUCUGACAGAGAAAGCGGGGUUCAACUAUUUCAUGGCUUCCCACCUCAGCCAAGAUUGUCUUGAGCGGUCUUUUGGGAUUGUUAGACAGGCAGGGGGUGCCAAUGAUCACUUUACGCCCGCUUAGUUUGUGGUAAUCUUGAGGCAUUUUUAAUUUGAUUUCUCUUCCACUUUGCUUGCUUUUUGUCAGAUCAUAUGUAUUCAAAGUGUAAAAACACAGGCUUCCGAGAGGAAUGGGAACUCCAUCGAGGCACGCUUGCAACGUGGUGUCGCAGCCAAUCGGAAUUUAGUUGCUGCGACAGACGUGGGACACCGGCUUUUUCACUCAAUGAGCCAUUUGACGCUUUCGCAUCAAAAGUACAUAAUAGUCUACAUUUAACUGUUCAUGUAACUGCUGCUUAUCUACUUUUAGGUGAGAAGUCCGAAAGGCGGUAACGUGUCUGAUGGUGUACUGGAAUCCCUACUGUCCAUAGAGCAGCUGCUUCCCGAGAGCGGUUAGCAGACCGAGGCUGCAGACAACACAAAUGUCCUUUCAGAAGCAGUGAAAAUAUCUGUGGAGCACAUUUCCUACAACACCGAAAAAAGUGAUUCCCACCUAGUCGAUUUCAUAGCCGCGGGCUAUGUAGUAAGGAAGCAGAUUCUGUGAAUCAGUUGUGAACGAUGCAAGGCAGCUUGUCUCAUCACCAAAGACAAUGUGGCCCCAAAUCUGCCGGCGGAUGCCUCUUUGCAGUGGGACCUGGGUGGACUUCUUUAUGCAUCACAUACUCUGUACGACUUGAUUCAGACGCUUGAGAACAAGCUACCUAUUUAGCACAGCUUGCCUCCCCGCAGUAUCUGUUACAGACACGUGGCAAAAGAUUGGGCAGGCAUCACAGGUCGGCUACGGUGAGCAUGCUGUUACACUGUUACAUCUGUUGUACGCUUAUAUUGCCUACUGUGGGUUCAUUUUUUUUAAUGGAGUCAACCAAAAGGACAAAAAGAAGCCAAGCGGGUUAACCCUGUGUUCUGUGGAUUGCUUCUUGCUGCAAAGUUCAAGUAAACUUGUUUUUUCCAU
Non-coding RNA from Dermacentor andersoni, 4599 nucleotides. NCBI's taxonomy places the organism in Eukaryota, Metazoa, Arthropoda, Arachnida, Ixodida, Ixodidae. The record is from RefSeq and is a predicted model, not a curated record.